AGAACGAACGCUGGCGGCAGGCCUCAAACAUGCAAGUCUAGGUGGUGUAGCAAUACAUCACCGGCGGACGGGUGCGUAACACGUGGGAAUAUACCUUUUGGUUCGGAACAACGCAGGGAAACUUGCGCUAAUACCGAAUGUGCCCUUACGGGGAAAGAUUUAUCGCCAAAGGAUUAGCCCGCGUAGGAUUAGCUAGUUGGUGAGGUAAUGGCUCACCAAGGCUCCGAUCCUUAGCUGUUCUGAGAGGAAGAUCAGCCACACUGGGACUGAGACACGGCCCAGACUCCUACGGGAGGCAGCAGUUGGGAAUCUUGGACAAUGGGGGAAACCCUGAUCCAGCCAUGCCGCGUGAGUGAUGAAGGCCUUCGGGUUGUAAAACUCUUUCGACGGGACGAUAAUGACGGUACCUGUAGAAGAAGCUCCGGCUAACUUCGUGCCAGCAGCCGC
This 447-nucleotide ribosomal RNA is filed under the name uncultured bacterium. Its description in RNAcentral is "SSU rRNA". It matches the Rfam family "Bacterial small subunit ribosomal RNA", at positions 26 to 518 of the family's 1533-position model. The record is from RNAcentral.